RNAcentral lists this microRNA (22 nucleotides) under Salmo salar (Atlantic salmon). RNAcentral's name for it is "ssa-miR-205b-4-3p". Its record names the gene ssa-miR-205b-4-3p. The record is from miRBase by way of RNAcentral. Lineage: Eukaryota; Metazoa; Chordata; Actinopteri; Salmoniformes; Salmonidae.
GAUUUCUGUGAAAUGAAGUGUA